AGCUGAUUCGGUAGCCAAGGAUGACUUGCCUACACUACAUGCAUAUAUGUGUACACUUUGUUAUAGCUCUGUUUUUCUUUUCUUUUGUAGGAAAAAAAACAGAGUUAUUCGGGGUAUAUAUAGGCAUGUCCUCCUUGGCUAUUCGGAGUAGCUCA
Molecule: non-coding RNA, 155 nt
Organism: Triticum aestivum (bread wheat)
Lineage: Eukaryota; Viridiplantae; Streptophyta; Magnoliopsida; Poales; Poaceae
Source: Rfam